Molecule: ribosomal RNA, 789 nt
Filed under: uncultured bacterium
Lineage: Bacteria
Description: bacterial SSU rRNA
Rfam family: Bacterial small subunit ribosomal RNA
Source: RNAcentral
AGAGUUUGAUCAUGGCUCAGAUUGAACGCUGGCGGCAUGCUUUACACAUGCAAGUCGAACGGCAGCACGGGAGCUUGCUCCUGGUGGCGAGUGGCGAACGGGUGAGUAACGCGUCGGAACGCGCCGAGUAAUGGGGGAUAACGCAGCGAAAGUUGUGCUAAUACCGCAUAAUCUCUGAGGAGGAAAGCGGGGGACCUUUAGGGGCCUCGCGUUAUUCGAGCGGCUGACGUCUGAUUAGCUAGUUGGUGGGGUAAAGGCUCACCAAGGCAACGAUCAGUAGCGGGUCUGAGAGGAUGAUCCGUCACACUGGGACUGAGACACGGCCCAGACUCCUACGGGAGGCAGCAGUGGGGAAUUUUGGACAAUGGGGGCAACCCUGAUCCAGCCAUGCCGCGUGUCUGAAGAAGGCCUUCGGGUUGUAAAGGACUUUUGCCGGGGAGCAAAACUUACGGCUGAAUAAGCCGUGGGGAUGAGAGUACCUGGAGAAUAAGCACCGGCUAACUACGUGCCAGCAGCCGCGGUAAUACGUAGGGUGCGAGCGUUAAUCGGAAUUACUGGGCGUAAAGCGUGCGCAGGCGGUUAUGCAAAUCUGAUGUGAAAGCCCCGGGCUUAACCUGGGAACGGCAUUGGAGACUGCAAGACUAGAGUGCGUCAGAGGGGGGUAGAAUUCCACGUGUAGCAGUGAAAUGCGUAGAGAUGUGGAGGAAUACCGAUGGCGAAGGCAGCCCCCUGGGAUGACACUGACGCUCAUGCACGAAAGCGUGGGGAGCAAACAGGAUUAGAUACCCU